RNAcentral lists this ribosomal RNA (292 nucleotides) under uncultured Acidobacteriota bacterium. RNAcentral describes it as "uncultured Acidobacteria bacterium partial 16S ribosomal RNA". Lineage: Bacteria; Pseudomonadati; Acidobacteriota. The record is from RNAcentral.
GGACUACACGGGUAUCUAAUCCUGUUUGCUCCCCACGCUUUCGCGCAUCAGCGUCAGAACCGGUCCAGGUAGCCGCCUUCGCCACCGGUGUUCCUCCCAAUAUCUACGCAUUUCACCGCUACACUGGGAAUUCCGCUACCCCCUCCCGGCCUCGAGCCAGGCAGUUUCAAAGGCAAUUCCUCAGUUGAGCCGAGGGAUUUCACCUUUGACUUACCAAGCCGCCUACGCGCCCUUUACGCCCAAUAAUUCCGAAUAACGCUCGCCCCCUCCGUAUUACCGCGGCGGCUGGCAC